RNAcentral lists this ribosomal RNA (505 nucleotides) under uncultured bacterium. RNAcentral's name for it is "bacterial SSU rRNA". It matches the Rfam family "Bacterial small subunit ribosomal RNA", at positions 28 to 526 of the family's 1533-position model. The record is from RNAcentral.
GAUGAACGCUAGCGGCAGGCUUAACACAUGCAAGUCGAACGGUAACAGAAAAAGCUUGCUUUUUGCUGACGAGUGGCGAACGGGUGCGUAACGCGUAUGCAACCUACCUUCUUCAGAGGAAUAGCCCAGAGAAAUUUGGAUUAAUACCUCAUAAUAAUAUUUUUUCGCAUGAUAAUUUAUUUAAAGCUUCGGCGGAGGAAGAUGGGCAUGCGUAACAUUAGUUAGUUGGUGAGGUAACGGCUCACCAAGACUACGAUGUUUAGGGGGUCUGAGAGGAUGAUCCCCCACACUGGUACUGAGACACGGACCAGACUCCUACGGGAGGCAGCAGUGAGGAAUAUUGGUCAAUGGACGAAAGUCUGAACCAGCCAUGCCGCGUGAAGGAUGACUGCCCUAUGGGUUGUAAACUUCUUUUAUAUAGGAAGAAACCCCUCUACGUGUAGAGGGUUGACGGUACUAUACGAAUAAGCACCGGCUAACUCCGUGCCAGCCGCCGCCGUAACAC